GGGACCACCCGCUAAGCCUAAAUAUUCCCUGGUGACCGGAUAGCGGAUAGUACCGUGAGGGAAUGGUGAAAAGUACCGCGGGAGCGGAGUCGAAAUAGUACCUGAAACCGUGUGCCUACAAGCCGUGGGAGCGUCGGAUGGAAGCUUGCUUCCAUCUCGUGACUGCGUGCCUUUUGAAGAAUGAGCCUAGCGAGUUUGCGGUGUGUUGCGAGGUUAACCCGGGUGGGGAAGCCGUAGCGAAAGCCGAGUCCGAAGUACGGGCGUUUCAGUAGCACGGCUCA
This 281-nucleotide non-coding RNA is filed under the name Streptomyces afghaniensis 772. Its description in RNAcentral is "Bacterial large subunit ribosomal RNA". It matches the Rfam family "Bacterial large subunit ribosomal RNA", at positions 449 to 711 of the family's 2925-position model. Lineage: Bacteria; Bacillati; Actinomycetota; Actinomycetes; Kitasatosporales; Streptomycetaceae. The record is from Rfam by way of RNAcentral.